RNAcentral lists this ribosomal RNA (609 nucleotides) under uncultured bacterium. RNAcentral describes it as "bacterial SSU rRNA". It matches the Rfam family "Bacterial small subunit ribosomal RNA", at positions 108 to 738 of the family's 1533-position model. The record is from RNAcentral.
GAGUAAUGCAUAGAUAAUGUGCCCCUUAGUUCGGGAUAGCCACUGGAAACGGUGAUUAAUACCGGAUACUCCUUCUUGUUAUAAGACAAGUCGGGAAAGUUUUUCGCUAAGGGAUCAGUCUAUGUUCCAUCAGCUUGUUGGUGAGGUAAUGGCUCACCAAGGCUAUGACGGAUAUCUGGUUUGAGAGGAUGAUCAGACACACUGGAACUGAGACACGGUCCAGACUCCUACGGGAGGCAGCAGUGAGGAAUAUUGCACAAUGGAGGAAACUCUGAUGCAGCAACGCCGCGUGGAGGAUGACGCAUUUCGGUGUGUAAACUCCUUUUAUUAGGGAAGAUAAUGACGGUACCUAAUGAAUAAGCACCGGCUAACUCCGUGCCAGCAGCCGCGGUAAUACGGAGGGUGCAAGCGUUACUCGGAAUCACUGGGCGUAAAGGGUGCGUAGGCUGGCUUUUAAGUCAGAUGUGAAAUCCAAUGGCUCAACCAUUGAACUGCAUUUGAAACUGAAAGCCUAGAGUUCAGAAGGGGCAGAUGGAAUUAGUGGUGUAGGGGUAAAAUCCGUAGAUAUCACUAGGAAUAUCAAAAGCGAAGGCGAUCUGCUGGGAUGAU